GGUAGAAUGGCUGAGUAGUAAGCGGUGGAGUGUAGUUCCGAGGACGUAGGUGAAAUCCCUAUUUUUAUCA
RNAcentral lists this transfer RNA (70 nucleotides) under Herpele squalostoma. Its description in RNAcentral is "tRNA-Tyr". It matches the Rfam family "tRNA". From Rfam's summary of the family: Transfer RNA (tRNA) molecules are approximately 80 nucleotides in length. Their secondary structure includes four short double-helical elements and three loops (D, anti-codon, and T loops). Further hydrogen bonds mediate the characteristic L-shaped molecular structure. tRNAs have two regions of fundamental functional importance: the anti-codon, which is responsible for specific mRNA codon recognition, and the 3' end, to which the tRNAs corresponding amino acid is attached (by aminoacyl-tRNA synthetases). tRNAs cope with the degeneracy of the genetic code in two manners: having more than one tRNA (with a specific anti-codon) for a particular amino acid; and 'wobble' base-pairing, i.e. permitting non-standard base-pairing at the 3rd anti-codon position. The record is from RNAcentral. Lineage: Eukaryota; Metazoa; Chordata; Amphibia; Gymnophiona; Herpelidae.